GAUGAACGCUGGCGGCGUGCUUAACACAUGCUUGUCGAACGAUUAAACCGCCCUCGGGCGGACAUAGAGUGGCGAACGGGUGAGUAACACGUGACCAACCUGCCCCGCGCUCCGGGACAACCGCUGGAAACGGCGGCUAAUACCGGAUACUCCGGGAGGGCCCCAUGGCCCUGCCGGGAAAGCCGAGACGGCGCGGGAUGGGGUCGCGGCCCAUUAGGUAGACGGCGGGGUAACGGCCCACCGUGCCCGCGAUGGGUAGCCGGACUGAGAGGUCGACCGGCCACAUUGGGACUGAGAUACGGCCCAGACUCCUACGGGAGGCAGCAGUGGGGAAUUUUGCGCAAUGGGGGAAACCCUGACGCAGCAACGCCGCGUGCGGGACGAAGGCCCUCGGGUUGUAAACCGCUUUCAGCAGGGAAGAUCCAAGACGGUACCUGCAGAAGAAGCUCCGGCUAACUACGUGCCAGCAGCCGCGGUAAUACGUAGGGGGCGAGCGUUAUCCGGAUUCAUUGGGCGUAAAGCGCGCGUAGGCGGCCGCCUAAGCGGGACCUCUAACCCCGGGGCUCAACCCCGGGCCGGGUCCCGGACUGGGCGGCUCGAGUGCGGUAGAGGAGAGCGGAAUUCCCGGUGUAGCGGUGGAAUGCGCAGAUAUCGGGAAGAACACCGAUGGGCGAAGGCAGCUCUCUGGGCCGUCACUGACGCUGAGGCGCGAAAGCUGGGGGAGCGAACAGGAUUAGAUACCCUGGUAGUCCCAGCCGUAAACGAUGGGCGCUAGGUGUGGGGGGACGAUCCCUCCGUGCCGCAGCCAACGCAUUAAGCGCCCCGCCUGGGGAGUACGGCCGCAAGGCUAAAACUCAAAGGAAUUGACGGGGGCCCGCACAAGCAGCGGAGCAUGUGGCUUAAUUCGAAGCAACGCGAAGAACCUUACCAGGGCUUGACAUGCCGAUGAAGCCGGGGAGACCCGGUGGCCGAGAGGAGUCGGCGCAGGUGGUGCAUGGCUGUCGUCAGCUCGUGUCGUGAGAUGUUGGGUUAAGUCCCGCAACGAGCGCAACCCCCGCCCCGUGUUGCCAGCAUUCAGUUGGGGACUCGCGGGGGACUGCCGGCGUCAAGCCGGAGGAAGGUGGGGACGACGUCAAGUCAUCAUGCCCCUUAUGCCCCGGGCUGCACACGUGCUACAAUGGCCGGUACAGAGGGUUGCCACCCCGCGAGGGGGAGCGGAUCCCGGAAAGCCGGUCCCAGUUCGGAUCGCAGGCUGCAACCCGCCUGCGUGAAGCCGGAGUUGAUAGUAAUCGCGGAUCAGCACGCCGCGGUGAAUA
Molecule: ribosomal RNA, 1316 nt
Filed under: uncultured bacterium
Lineage: Bacteria
Description: bacterial SSU rRNA
Rfam family: Bacterial small subunit ribosomal RNA
Source: RNAcentral